AGGGUUCGAUCAUGGCUCAGAACGUACGCUGGCGGCACGCCUAACACAUGCAAGUCGAACGAAGUAGCAAUACUUAGUGGCAGACGGGUGAGUAACAUGUAGGUAUCUGCCCUUUGGCCUGGAAUAACACGAGGAAACUUGUGCUAAUACCGGAUAAGUCUUUACGGAGAAAGCUUUAUGCACCAUUGGAUGAGCCUGCACUUGAUUAGUUUGUUGGUGGGGUAAUGGCCUACCAAGACUGUGAUCAAUAGCUGAUUUGAGAGGAUGAUCAGCCACAUUGGGACUGAGACACGGCCCAAACUCCUACGGGAGGCAGCAGUGGGGAAUCUUGCACAAUGGAGGAAACUCUGAUGCAGCGAUGCCGCGUGAGUGAAGAAGGCCCUUGGGUUGUAAAGCUCUUUCGUCGGGGAAGAAAAUGACUGUACCCGAAUAAGAAGGUCCGGCUAACUUCGUGCCAGCCGCCGCGGUAAUAC
This 473-nucleotide ribosomal RNA is filed under the name uncultured bacterium. RNAcentral describes it as "bacterial SSU rRNA". It matches the Rfam family "Bacterial small subunit ribosomal RNA", at positions 8 to 526 of the family's 1533-position model. The record is from RNAcentral.